RNAcentral lists this signal recognition particle RNA (319 nucleotides) under Candidatus Methanofrustulum fimipullorum. RNAcentral's name for it is "signal recognition particle sRNA". It matches the Rfam family "Archaeal signal recognition particle RNA". The record is from RNAcentral. Lineage: Archaea; Methanobacteriati; Methanobacteriota; Methanomicrobia; Methanosarcinales; Methanosarcinaceae.
UCUUGAGCUAGCCGGGGCAGCUAGGCGUUGCCUGUAACCCGAAAGCGCCGAAACGCGGGCGGCGAAGCCGAAGGAAGAAGUAUUAUUGGAUUGUAGAAGAACCGUUUUCUUUGACGUUGAAGCCUUGUCCUGUUCGGAUGACGGUGAAUUCAAUUGCAUCGAGGAGUCAUGAAAUUGUCUUCUUUAUCGCAGGUACCGGUUUAGGCCCGGAAGGGAGCAGACUUACUGUGGACAAUCGUCGCUUACAGGGGAGCGAGGUGGAGAAGAGGAAAGCGUGCUUCUUUUAUGAAACAAGCUACGACCGGAGGCGUGCUCAUUU